GCCGGGCGCGGUGGCGCGUGCCUGUAGUCCCGGCUACUCGGGAGGCUGAGGCUGGAGAAUCCCUUGAGCCCAGGAGUUCUGGGCUGUAGUGCGCUAUGCUGAUCGGGUGUCCGCACUAAGUUCGGCAUCAAUUUGGUGACGUCCCGGGAGCGGGGGACCACCAGGUUGCCUGAGGAGGGGUGAACCGGCCCAGGUAGGAAAUGGAGCAGGUCAAAACUCCUGUGCUGAUCAGUAGUGGGAUCGCACCUGUGAAUAGCCACUGCACUCCAGCCUGGGCAACAUAGUGAGACCCUGCCUCU
This 299-nucleotide signal recognition particle RNA is filed under the name Aotus nancymaae (Ma's night monkey). Its description in RNAcentral is "Metazoan signal recognition particle RNA (ENSANAG00000004652.1)". It matches the Rfam family "Metazoan signal recognition particle RNA". From Rfam's summary of the family: The signal recognition particle (SRP) is a universally conserved ribonucleoprotein. Lineage: Eukaryota; Metazoa; Chordata; Mammalia; Primates; Aotidae. The record is from RNAcentral.